Molecule: ribosomal RNA, 253 nt
Filed under: uncultured bacterium
Lineage: Bacteria
Description: partial 16S ribosomal RNA
Rfam family: Bacterial small subunit ribosomal RNA
Source: RNAcentral
UACGAAGGGGGCUAGCGUUGUUCGGAUUUACUGGGCGUAAAGCGUGUGUAGGCGGACUGGAAAGUUGGGGGUGAAAUCCCGAGGCUCAACCUCGGAACUGCCUCCAAAACUUCCAGUCUGGACUCAAGUAGAGGCAAGUGGAAUUGCGAGUGUAGAGGUGAAAUUCGUAGAUAUUCGCAGGAACACCAGUGGCGAAGGCGACUUGCUGGACUUGUAGUGACGCUGAGACGCGAAAGCGUGGGGAGCAAACAGG